Molecule: ribosomal RNA, 498 nt
Filed under: uncultured bacterium
Lineage: Bacteria
Description: partial 16S ribosomal RNA
Rfam family: Bacterial small subunit ribosomal RNA
Source: RNAcentral
AUUGAACGCUGGCGGCAUGCCUUACACAUGCAAGUCGAACGGUAACGCGGGGCAACCUGGCGACGAGUGGCGAACGGGUGAGUAACGCAUCGGAACGUGCCCAGUAGUGGGGGAUAGCCCGGCGAAAGCCGGAUUAAUACCGCAUACGACCUACGGGUGAAAGAGGGGGAUCGCAAGACCUCUCGCUAUUGGAGCGGCCGAUGUCAGAUUAGGUAGUUGGUGGGGUAAAGGCCUACCAAGCCUACGAUCUGUAGCUGGUCUGAGAGGACGACCAGCCACACUGGGACUGAGACACGGCCCAGACGCCUACGGGAGGCAGCAGUGGGGAAUUUUGGACAAUGGGCGCAAGCCUGAUCCAGCCAUGCCGCGUGCGGGAAGAAGGCCUUCGGGUUGUAAACCGCUUUUGUCAGGGAAGAAACGCUCUGGACUAAUACUCUGGGGUAAUGACGGUACCUGAAGAAUAAGCACCGGCUAACUACGUGCCAGCAGCCGCCGUAA